AGGACGUCCAAGGGCUUCUUUAGCCUCACUCCAGGCCCUGGGAGCCUCUGAGCUAGUGGGGCCCCGCCGUCUCAGGGGUGACGCACCUGCAUCGGUGUGUCCCCUGGGGCCAGAGGACCACACCUCAUGUGGCGGUGGUCCCAGCCACACAGCCAGCCCUACAGUUGCCUUCCACCCUGAGGACCACCCAGCAGCUACCACCAACCACUCCUCACCCUAGACAUCCAACAGACUAAGGAGCCUGCACAGGAGCGCAGGCUGUGUGCCCGGAGCUCAGCUCCUCUGAGGAGGACGCCUGUGUGGUCUCCUGCAACUCAGACGAGAACUGCCCCCAAGGCACCAAAUGCUGCCCCAGGAGCCCCUGCAGCCGCUCCUGCGUGGUCCCCCUCAUCGCGCCUGUGCAGAAGGCCGGCCGCUGCCCCUGGGUGCCGGCCCCGCUGACGCCCGCACCCUGCCUGGAGAGCAGUGAGUGCUCCCGGGACGACCACUGUGCCGGUGACAGAAAGUGCUGCCUGAGCACCUGCGCCAUGAGGUGUCUCUCACCCGAGGCAGAGGAGCCACUCCAGUGAGGGGCUUCCCCAGGAACCCCCCGGCUGCCAGGAGCGACCAGCCUGAGCCUGCUUGGCAAGAACCUCGUCUCCCCGAUCCAGAGAGCGCGAGACACUUCCCACCUGCUGCCAAUAA
This is a long non-coding RNA of Mustela lutreola (European mink), 684 nucleotides long. RefSeq lists it as uncharacterized. The record is from RefSeq and is a predicted model, not a curated record. NCBI's taxonomy places the organism in Eukaryota, Metazoa, Chordata, Mammalia, Carnivora, Mustelidae. The transcript has 5 exons.